Long non-coding RNA from Triticum dicoccoides, 1413 nucleotides. RefSeq lists it as uncharacterized. Lineage: Eukaryota; Viridiplantae; Streptophyta; Magnoliopsida; Poales; Poaceae. The record is from RefSeq and is a predicted model, not a curated record. The transcript is spliced from 7 exons.
CCUCUCAUUAGUUUACACCAGAUCCCUUCCGUCCCGUGCCCAAGUCCCGCAGCACUAUCGCGCCCAAGAGGAUUCAAAAGGGAGCGGCGGCGGCGAGAGGCCCGGCGCCGACCGCAACCCUAGCCCGAAUCAGCACCCGCCGCCCCGGAGGGUGCCGCUGCGGCGGCCGAGGCCGACGACGAGGUGCGGCGCCUGUUCACGGCCCUCAGCCAGGUCCACGCCGACCUCGCCCUGGCGGUCUGCCGCAGGCGGAGCGGCGGUCCAUUGUUGACGAGGCGCGCUGGCGGCCCGUGCGGUCCCGAUCCCAGGUGCUGGUCCACCGGCGUGGAUGAGGAGCCCAGGAGCAGGCAAGUUGGCUAGAUCUCGCAGCCCCGGCCGUCCCGUCCACGUCCUAGGGUUCCGAGAUAUGGAUAUUUAAAGGAAUUGAUCUUGCUGAAAUUAAGAAAGAAUUUCAAAAUAUACCAAGAAGAAUGCCUUUGCCACAGUCAAUAAAGCUUUAUUAUAGACAUCUUUAUGCGUGUCUUAGUUAAUAAAGAUGAUAAAUUGGUGAUCUGUAAUCCAUAUAAUCUUCAUUUAGUGAGGACUCUAUGCUGUUGGUUGGUCUGUGCUAUUCUUCUUUUAUCGUCUAUAGAUGAUUAUGAGCAAGAUGCAAGGACACAAAAAGCCUGGGAUGCAGAAAGGUUAGAGGCGAGCUGCCGCUAGCGCACGGUGGCGUGCUGCAUCUCCCAUCGGUGCUUGCCACAGGAGAACUACAUCCCUGGCCUAUUCUUCUAUGCCUCAGCUGCUGCCUCUCCAAGCAAUGCCAAACCUAUAGGCUAUAACAGGUUCAGGAGGUUAUUGAAGGGGAUUGUGUAUGGAUGCCGACAUUCAGACUGGUCAGCUAAGAGACCAGGACACACAAAUCUGGAGAGGUCCUUGGUCAUCAGCUGGUCCAUCAUGGGGUAUGUAACUUCACUGAGAUCAUGCAUGCUCCUUAUAAGCUGGGGAUAUAAGUUCUUACGAUUAACUGUAUCAUCUAGCCGCGAGACGCCGCUUUUACUAUUAGAAUAACUUAAAAUCUUCUCUUCAAAUAAUGCAAUGCAAGGAUGAUUUUGACAUAUAGAUGUUGAUGUCCCAAGCUGAAUUUCAAGAUACUCAUGGCAGCAAUUUCCCACAAAAGUGGUGUGGGUUAAUUCGCUAUACUGUUAGAAUUACGCGAGGUAGGCGUGUAUCAUUGGGGUGGUACUGAGUCAACUAAGAGUCAGAAGCGCUAAUAUGUGUGCAUUACCUACUGUUGUAUAUUUUUCAAUCAUGCACUAUGUUCUCUUAAUGAUUAAUUGUGGAUGAAAUGGAUGAGGGCAAUAAUGCUCAUGUGCUUAUCCUGAAUGGAUGAACAGAACUCUAGAAACUUGAAUGGAAAGAACCUUUAAAGCA